CAAUAGCGUAUAUUAAAGUUGUUGCGGUUAAAAAGCUCGUAGUUGGAUUUCUGCUGAGAACGACCGGUCCGCCCUCUGGGUGUGUAUCUGGCUCUUUCUUGGCAUCUUCUUGGUGAACGUUGCUGCACUUGACUGUGUGGAGCGCUACCCAGGACUUUUACUUUGAGGAAAUUAGAGUGUUUCAAGCAGGCAUACGCCUUGAAUACAUUAGCAUGGAAUAAUAAGAUAGGACCUCGGUUCUAUUUUGUUGGUUUCUAGAGCUGAGGUAAUGAUUAAUAGGGAUAGUUGGGGGCAUUCGUAUUUAACUGUCAGAGGUGAAGUUCUUGGAUUUGUUAAAGACGGACUACUGCGAAAGCAUUUGCCAAGGAUGUUUNCAUUG
Molecule: ribosomal RNA, 379 nt
Filed under: uncultured eukaryote
Lineage: Eukaryota
Description: partial 18S ribosomal RNA
Rfam family: Eukaryotic small subunit ribosomal RNA
Source: RNAcentral